Molecule: ribosomal RNA, 457 nt
Filed under: uncultured bacterium
Lineage: Bacteria
Description: partial 16S ribosomal RNA
Rfam family: Bacterial small subunit ribosomal RNA
Source: RNAcentral
CCUACGGGAGGCAGCAGUGGGGAAUAUUGCACAAUGGGGGAAACCCUGAUGCAGCGACGCCGCGUGAGUGAAGAAGUAUUUCGGUACGUAAAGCUCUAUCAGCAGGGAAGAAAAAAACUCCUUUGGACUUUGGACGGUACCUGACCAAGAAGCCCCGGCUACCUACGUGCCAGCAGCCGCGGUAAUACGUAGGGGGCAAGCGUUAUCCGGAUUUACUGGGUGUAAAGGGAGCGUAGGCGGCAGCGUAAAUCUGGAGUGAAAUGCCGGGGCCCAACCCCGGAACUGCGGUGGAAACUGUGCAGCUGGAGUGCAGGAGAGGGAGGCGGAAUUCCUGGUGUAGCGGUGAAAUGCGUAGAUAUUAGGAGGAACACCAGUGGCGAAGGCGGCUUACGGGACUGUAACUGACGUUGAGGCUCGAAAGCGUGGGGAGCAAACAGGAUUAGAUACCCUGGUAGUC